CCCCCAGUAGCGGCGAGCGAACGGGGAGCAGCCCAGAGUCUGAAUCAGCUUGUGUGUUAGUGGAACGGUCUGGAAAGUCCGACGGUACAGGGUGAUAGUCCCGUACACCAAAAUGCACAGGCUGUGAACUCGAAGAGUAGGGCGGGACACGUGGUAUCCUGUCUGAAUAUGGGGGGACCAUCCUCCAAGGCUAAAUACUCCUGACUGACCGAUAGUGAACCAGUACCGUGAGGGAAAGGCGAAAAGAACCCCGGCGAGGGGAGUGAAAAAGAACCUGAAACCGUGUACGUACAAGCAGUGGGAGCACCUUCGGGUGUGACUGCGUACCUUUUGUAUAAUGGGUCAGCGACUUAUAUUCUGUAGCAAGGUUAACCGUAUAGGGGAGCCGCAGGGAAACCGAGUCUUAACUGGGCGUUAAGUUGCAGGGUAUAGACCCGAAACCCGGUGAUCUAGCCAUGGGCAGGUUGAAGGUUGGGUAACACUAACUGGAGGACCGAACCGACUAAUGUUGAAAAAUUAGCGGAUGACUUGUGGCUGGGGGUGAAAGGCCAAUCAAACCGGGAGAUAGCUGGUUCUCCCCGAAAGCU
This 587-nucleotide ribosomal RNA is filed under the name Klebsiella pneumoniae. RNAcentral describes it as "partial 23S ribosomal RNA". It matches the Rfam family "Bacterial large subunit ribosomal RNA", at positions 237 to 867 of the family's 2925-position model. The record is from RNAcentral. Lineage: Bacteria; Pseudomonadati; Pseudomonadota; Gammaproteobacteria; Enterobacterales; Enterobacteriaceae.